Molecule: ribosomal RNA, 497 nt
Filed under: uncultured bacterium
Lineage: Bacteria
Description: partial 16S ribosomal RNA
Rfam family: Bacterial small subunit ribosomal RNA
Source: RNAcentral
GAUGAACGCUGGCGGCGUGCCUAAUACAUGCAAGUCGAGCGAACAGACGAGGAGCUUGCUCCUCUGACGUUAGCGGCGGACGGGUGAGUAACACGUGGAUAACCCACCUAUAAGACUGGGAUAACUUCGGGAAACCGGAGCUAAUACCGGAUAAUAUAUUGAACCGCAUGGUUCAAUAGUGAAAGACGGUUUUGCUGUCACUUAUAGAUGGAUCCGCGCCGCAUUAGCUAGUUGGUAAGGUAACGGCUUACCAAGGCAACGAUGCGUAGCCGACCUGAGAGGGUGAUCGGCCACACUGGAACUGAGACACGGUCCAGACUCCUACGGGAGGCAGCAGUAGGGAAUCUUCCGCAAUGGGCGAAAGCCUGACGGAGCAACGCCGCGUGAGUGAUGAAGGUCUUCGGAUCGUAAAGCUCUGUUAUUAGGGAAGAACAAAUGUGUAAGUAACUAUGCACGUCUUGACGGUACCGAAUCAGAAAGCCACGGCUAACUACGUG